Molecule: non-coding RNA, 84 nt
Organism: Tephrocybe rancida
Lineage: Eukaryota; Fungi; Basidiomycota; Agaricomycetes; Agaricales; Lyophyllaceae
Source: the annotation of a GenBank genome assembly
UCUUUGCUAGUAUAUCGGUUAGUACACGCGCCUGUCAUGUUAUAUGUUGCGCGCGAAAGCUGGGUUCGACUCCCAGGCAGAGAG